This 540-nucleotide ribosomal RNA is filed under the name uncultured bacterium. RNAcentral describes it as "partial 16S ribosomal RNA". It matches the Rfam family "Bacterial small subunit ribosomal RNA", at positions 355 to 911 of the family's 1533-position model. The record is from RNAcentral.
UGGGGAAUAUUGCACAAUGGGCGAAAGCCUGAUGCAGCAACGCCGCGUGAGUGAUGAAGGUCUUCGGAUUGUAAAGCUCUGUCUUUUGGGACGAUAAUGACGGUACCAAAGGAGGAAGCCACGGCUAACUACGUGCCAGCAGCCGCGGUAAUACGUAGGUGGCGAGCGUUGUCCGGAUUUACUGGGCGUAAAGGUGCGUAGGCGGAUGUUUAAGUGAGAUGUGAAAUACCCGGGCUUAACUUGGGUGCUGCAUUUCAAACUGGAUAUCUAGAGUGCAGGAGAGGAGAAUGGAAUUCCUAGUGUAGCGGUGAAAUGCGUAGAGAUUAGGAAGACACCAGUGGCGAAGGCGAUUCUCUGGACUGUAACUGACGCUGAGGCACGAAAGCGUGGGUAGCAAACAGGAUUAGAUACCCUGGUAGUCCACGCCGUAAACGAUGAGUACUAGGUGUAGGAGGUAUCGACCCCUUCUGUGCCGCAGUAAACACAUUAAGUACUCCGCCUGGGAAGUACGAUCGCAAGAUUAAAACUCUAAAGUGAAUU